UUAAAUUGAAGAGUUUGAUCAUGGCUCAGAUUGAACGCUGGCGGCAGGCCUAACACAUGCAAGUCGAACGGUAACAGGAAGCGCUUGCUGCUUCGCUGACGAGUGGCGGACGG
RNAcentral lists this ribosomal RNA (113 nucleotides) under Shigella flexneri. RNAcentral describes it as "partial 16S ribosomal RNA". It matches the Rfam family "Bacterial small subunit ribosomal RNA", at positions 1 to 105 of the family's 1533-position model. Lineage: Bacteria; Pseudomonadati; Pseudomonadota; Gammaproteobacteria; Enterobacterales; Enterobacteriaceae. The record is from RNAcentral.